UCCGCCAGGGGACUACAAGCACAGCUUAAAACCCAAAGGACUUGGCGGUGCCUCAGACCCACCUAGAGGAGCCUGUUCUAGAACCGAUAACCCCCGUUAAACCUCACCACCUCUUGUUUAUCCCGCCUAUAUACCGCCGUCGUCAGCUUACCCUGUGAAGGCUCAACAGUAAGCAAAACGGGCCCAGCCCAAAACGUCAGGUCGAGGUGUAGCGCACGAGAUGGGAAGAAAUGGGCUACAUUUUCUAUUACAGAACACCACGAACAGCGCCCUGAAACAUGACGCCUGAAGGAGGAUUAGUCGCUAAAAGCAAA
This 314-nucleotide ribosomal RNA is filed under the name Hisonotus leucofrenatus. RNAcentral describes it as "partial 12S small subunit ribosomal RNA". It matches the Rfam family "Bacterial small subunit ribosomal RNA", at positions 868 to 1348 of the family's 1533-position model. Lineage: Eukaryota; Metazoa; Chordata; Actinopteri; Siluriformes; Loricariidae. The record is from RNAcentral.